This 5042-nucleotide long non-coding RNA is filed under the name Solanum tuberosum (potato). Its description in RNAcentral is "long non-coding RNA (STUB_LNC010314)". The record is from RNAcentral. Lineage: Eukaryota; Viridiplantae; Streptophyta; Magnoliopsida; Solanales; Solanaceae.
AAGAUUUCUGUUUCUGUCCCACGAGCUACGCAGGUACUUCUUCAUCCUUUGAGCGAAAUUUCAAUGUCCAAUCCAUCUGUUCUUUCCUGCUUUCUGUUUCUCUACAGCAUUUAAAUCUCUCUCUCAAGAUUUGCUGAACAUUUCUGUUUAGUUCCCUUUUUUGGUAUUCUGUAUAUACUGUUUUGGUCAGACAAGGAAUGUUCUGCAAUAUAUACUGAAGUUCUUGAAUCUAUGUGAACUUUAAAGUCAAAGAUAUGUCUAUUUAAGAUGCUUUUGCAUGUUCAUAAGGGAAAACAUCAGUAACGUUGCAAUGUUUAUUGUUUUUCUGCAUUUUCUCUUUUUAUGGGUUGUCAUAGGAAACGGCCCUUUUUGUUGUUAUAUCCAUGGAUAUUCUCUUGAUGAUAGUAACAUCUCUUCUUUACUGUUGUUCUCUUUCUCUACAGCCUUUAAAUUUGUCGCUGAACCUUUCGUCAACAUUUCUGUUUAUUUGCCUUUUUGGGUAUUUCGUAUAUAUUGUUUUCGUCAGACAAAGAAUGUUCUACAACAUAUAGUCAAAUUCUUGAAUGCAUCUGCACUUUAAAGUCAAACAUAUGUCUAUUUCAGAUGUUUUUGCAUAUUCAUAAGGGAAAAAAGGAGUAGAGUUGCAAUCUUUAUUGUUUGGCUGUAUAUUCUCUUUUCCUGUGUUGUCAUAGGACACACGACUUUUUCUUCUUAUAUCUAUCGCUGUUCUGUUGAUGAUAGUAACAUUCCCUUUUAUAUAAUAAGUUGUUAAUUCUUUUAUUUUUUACUACAUUUGGAACCUAAUUGGUUAGCAAUAUAUGUUAUUUGCCAUGUGCCAAUUUAUGUUUCUCCAAUUCCUACUUUGUCUUUUGUUUUGCUCUUUUGGUCAUUCCUAAUUUGUCUCCUCUACACCAUAUUAAGCCAUAUUAUACUGUAUGUAUGUGCUUCAAACUUCUGCUGAAUAAUUCCAUCUAUUUGUUUGUUACACUAUCUUUACCACCGAAUCGCCACAACGCCUCCAAAACACAAGAUUCGCUUUUACACUUUCACUUCUUCAAAACUUUGGCUUCCAACGCUUUCUCCAUUUCUGUUUUCCCUGCUGUUUACGCUUUCCAUUCUCCAAACAAAUCCCUUGCCAAAAGGAAAUACAAUAUUUCUUCUAAUAUAUUUAAUAAUAAUUCCUUUCAUUUGUUCUGUAUGUACUUCUCACUUAUUCCAUACUGAAUUUGCUCAAAUUCAAUAUUCCUAAAUAAUCAUUUCCCCCCGCAGGAGAUUGCGUCUAACUUGGCGAUAGAAAUAGCUGUCAUACAGACCAUCCCACUAGGUCUGCAGCAGCCUCUUCAUUAUCACCACCUUAGAACGAUUCCUUCAGCUGCUCACCCAAACCUUAUAUACAUACUACGCAGUCCACAAGAUUCAGAGACAUCCGACACGCGCUCACACGUACCUUAUAUGUUCUGUUUCAUCAUCUAUACGAUUUCCUACACCCACCAGCUAUUCUCCCACAGUUUUCCUCAACUGUUUACUCCCGCAGCAAAGUGUCUGAUAAAGGUCCUACCAUUAACUUUGGGUAGUUUAUUUGUGCUCCUAAGUUACUACUUCUCUUAUUUAUUUAUUCACCAUUGUUUGCGCGUCACUUUUCCUUCAAGUCUUUUAAUUAUCUUUGUGAGCUUUCUUCAAUUUUCUGGUUUCCAACAUACUCCAAAUUCUGAGUGCCUAUUAAAAUUCAUUAGCUGCUACAAAUAUCCCAUGUAAUAUAAUUAAUGAUUCAUUUCAGAUGUUCCAUAUGCCGCUCUAACUUCUUUCAUAUUCAAUUUCCCGCAUUUGAAAAAACUAGCUACUAAAUCUAUUUUACAGGAGAUUGCCUGCAACUGAAAGGUAGAAAUACCGUUGAUACAGAACAGCCUGCAGGGUCUUUAAUUGCCCACGCAAAGCAUCUAUACAUGCUAGCCCGUCCACAACAUUCACAUACAUCCUACAUGUGGUCGCAGGUAGCUUAUAUGUUGUCUCCUAUGCUCUAAUUUACUGCUUAACGUUUCAAGUUUGUCCAAUUUGCUGUUUUUCCUGGAUAGUCCAAACUGUUUCUAAGCUUAUCCUUUCUUUAUUUCUGGAUAGUUGUUUCUACGGUUAUCCUUACUUUAUUUCGGUUGCUGAUCAUUUCUUUUCCUCCUAUUAAAUAUCCUUCCGAUAUACGAGCCAUUUACAUGUUAUGCUUGCGUAAGAAGGAAACAAUUAGCUAACAAAAAAUGCCACUAUAAUACAGCAUACACCUUCCAUGCUCUCUGUUGGACAACAAACAAUUAUUACAUUCACCAAUAGAUGUGACCUCUAUUUCUAAGCAGUUUACGUACAUUCCAAAUUUAUCGUUCGUCCUGUACUUUAGCUUUCUUUAGCUAUGUCAAUUCAAAUUGCCUUUUUUCCCAUUGACUUUCUUCGCACUCUAUUCUUCAGUAACAACACAAAACCUCUACAAACUUGUUAGGUUUUCUGCUAUCGUCAAAUGCAAGCUAAAAACAUUUAAUUUUUCCCCCCACACAUUUUCUACACCGUAUUCUUUGGUGCGUCAAUGAUACAAAAGGUGCAUCAUCUCUCUUUGCUGCCUGUCCAUUGUUUCUGUCUUUUUCCUCCACACACACAUUUGUAAGCUAUAUCGUUUCUUUCGAUCGCUUUCAAAUGUCACUUGCUGCUGCUACUUACACUUUUUCUUUGUACCUCAUUUUAUCUGUUCAUUCACCUCUGCUGAAGUGUGCUAACAGAUUUGCACAUGAAUGUACUUUCACUGUGACAGCACUGUUCUUUCUGCUUUUAUUUGUUGCUUAUUCUCUGUUUCUUUACACAAGAUACAACGUUUAUUAUCCUUCUGCAGUUUAUACGUGAACUGACCCAAUAGUAACAGCUAUAAUUCUGAAGUAGUGUACUUGUUCCACAUUCUUUCGCAAACUUCACAUUAAGGUUUGACCAAAAUUUCUCUUCUCCAACUUUCUCUCUUCAGAAUGGACACUGACUGAUUUUCGUGCAAUAUUACUAUCAGCUGUUGUUUUCGGCUUGGAUAAAACCUUUACAUAAAACCUAAUAUACAACUACAGUUACCUACCAAAUACACUGCCAAUGUUUCGUUCAGCAACUUCAAACUUAUUACCUCAAACCUAACAUUGGUUUUCUUUAGCAAAAAACUAUCUACCCAUCAGAGUCAAUGUUUGCUCUUUUAUUUCUUCUCUUUCUGCUUCAGAUUUCUAUUUUCUUCUAUUCUACAUAGAGGCUCACCUCUUGCAUGGCAGUCGUUAGAUGGAUAAGCUACCUUUGCCUUUUCUCUUCUCCCAACAUUGCUGUCACUCUUAGUAGUCUGUUAGCAUCUACAUGUCUGCGAAAUUUUACCAAGCAAUUAUUUCAGGUAACAAACAUUUAACACUUAUAGGAUGGAUUGGUAACAACAUAAACCGGUAAAAUAUCAACUGUUUCUUCUUUCUGGAAUAUAUUGCAGAAAAAUUCAGUAAUUUUAAAGAGAAAUAACAGACAAACAAAGCAACUGAUACCUAAAGGGCCAACAGCGUAAAGAAUAACAUAGGAAAGGUGAACAACAGGAAUAGAGCUCUCACUUUGCCUACAGAGUACCCGUCGUCCCCUCAUUUCCGUUCUCAUCUGACACAUUUAUUCCUCUCCACUGUCAUCUAACAAAAAAAUUAAAACUCAUUUGAUUUCCCCUUAAAAUAUGUACAUGCUGAUAGUUUACGCAGGAAGAUGAAGGUAGAACAAAUUGUUCAUGGCUAAAAAUGCCAAAAAACAUUUCACACAUGAUAUAUACAAUCAUAAUUCAAGUAGGAAAAAAUUUAAAAAAACAAAUGAAUGUAGCCAAAAAUUUAAUAGUUCAAAUUUUACACCUAAAUGUCAUGAUUGACAAAUAACUAAUUGCACCUACAUGGUUACGAGAUCAACAUAGAAGCAAAAGUUAAUAGUAGGAUACAUGCUAUGUGCUCUUUCAUGCUUCUCUAAUUUAUGUUCAUUGUUUCUCCUACCUUCCUUUGGCAACAGUUGGUUAAUGCUUUCCUAUUACAUCAAAAGGUCACUUCUACACUAUGUUGCUCGGACUCUUCAAAAAUGCCAAUGGAUGCAUGUCGGAUUCGCCAAAAGUAGUGUAUUUUUGGAGAAUCCGAGACGGGUGCGGCAUCAAAAGUGAAGAGUCCGCGCAACUAAGCUUCUACAGCUAGAAAGUCAAUUUUACUCUACGUUCCUGCUUUCCUUUGAUGCUUGUUCCCUUUUCCUUUAACGUGCUGGAAAAAACUACUAUUUUCAUGCAACUUCAUUGUGUAUGCUCAGUUUUAUGCGUCAUUAUUCUUGUACUUUUGUUUUGCACAUGUGCAAUGCCUGUAUUACUUCGAAAGGCAUUCUCUAAUGUAAUUUCGUACUUAUGUGACCUAAUUUUACAUUUAUGUCCUGCCUUUCUGUUUUCCUGUCCACAACUUAUCUUACUUGAUGAAGUUUUGUUUUCUCAUAUCGUUCUAAUUGUUUAUAGUUAAUGUAUGUUCCUUGCAGCUACACAAAAGAUAUACAACACACCUUUGGCUUUUCAGGCAUUAUUUGUUUGCAGUACUGCAAAACAAGGUAAUGCAAUACUUCCCUAGCUCAUUUCUCUAUUACAGUGUUUACUUUACAACAUGAAUUUUGCAUAAUGUUUCUUCUCAAAUGGUUAUUUUCAUCCUUCCUUACAACAAAUUAGUACACCUACAUAUGAAGAAUUUCAUCUAAUUUGCUCUUGCAUGUUUCCGAAUAAAACUAAACACACACAUUACUUUCCAUUCUUUAUCCGCAUAGUACUGCUACGGAGAUUUGUGUGAUAAUAGUUUCCCUUACUUUCAUUCCUCCAGUAGUUUUUGUUCCACUACUUUGACUUGCUUUGAGGUUAACAACGAAGCUGACCAAACAAUCGAAUAUGCAAAUGAAGUGUUUGGUCAAAGUGUUGAUCUUCAGUAUAACUUCUGUACAAGCUGUAGACAUCAUCAUCCUUCACCAGAAGCUUUACUAUUCACUUCUACAACAUCAUCAUC